UACAUACGUAGUCAUAGAAACGGAAGAGUUCAGACUUGCUUCUCCUGUUCUUACGUUGGAGAUAAGAGUGGAGUGAAUUGAGUGAAUGAGUGUGAGUGCCAAGUGAAAACAAGGACACACAAGAUUAGGGUUUCCAUUUUCAUCUGUUAUGGCUUCAAUAAACACUGCUUUGACAUCGUUCGUAUGCAAAAGGAUUAACACCAGCUCUCAUAAGUUUCUGAACACAUCAUUCAUACCUGAAUUUGAUGUGCUCGGCCGUGUCUCGAAUAUUUGGGAUAAAGAAUCAUGUGCUUCUGCUGCACCUCGACUGAAUUCUGGUCCUAGAGCUACAUUAACCUUUGAUCCAUCAACAACUAGUAAUUCUGAAAACAAAAGUAAACAGAGCAAACAUACGAUUAAUCCUGCUGCUCCUGAUUUUCUCCCUUUACCAUCCUUCGAACAAUGCUUUCCUAAAAGCACUAAAGAAAGCAGGGAGGUUGUUCAUGAGGAAUCUGGUCAUGUGCUUAAGGUUCCAUUCAGACGGGUUCAUUUGUCUGGUGAUGAAUCACAUUUUGAUACCUACGAUACCAGCGGUCCACAGAAUAUCAAUCCACGAGAUGGGCUCCCUAAACUGCGCAAAGACUGGAUUGAAAGAAGGGAGGGUAUAGGUGGACCAAGAUAUACCCAGAUGUAUUAUGCUAAGCAGGGAGUUAUUACUGAAGAGAUGUUGUUCUGUGCCACUCGCGAAAAUCUUGAUCCAGAAUUUGUGAGGUCAGAAGUCGCACGUGGACGGGCAAUCAUACCUUCAAACAAGAAGCAUUUGGAGUUGGAGCCCAUGAUAGUUGGAAGAAAUUUUUUGGUCAAGGUCAAUGCAAAUAUUGGGAAUUCAGCUGUUGUCAGCUCUAUUGAGGAAGAAGUGGUAAAACUUCAAUGGGCUACUAUGUGGGGUGGUGAUACUAUAAUGGAUCUCUCUACAGGUCGUCACAUCCACGAGACACGUGAGUGGAUCCUUCGUAAUUCAGCUGUGCCUGUAGGAACUGUCCCAAUAUACCAGGCUCUAGAGAAGGUGAAUGGUAUUGCCGAAGAUCUUAACUGGGAAGUUUUCAGGCAAACCUUAAUUGAACAAGCCGAGCAGGGUGUGGAUUACUUCACAAUCCAUGCUGGGGUUCUGCUUCGCUACAUUCCUCUGACAGCUAAGCGCAUGACCGGAAUUGUGUCACGUGGAGGAUCAAUUCACGCAAAAUGGUGCUUGGCUUAUCAUAGGGAGAAUUUCGCUUAUGAGCACUGGGAUGAUAUCCUCGACAUCUGUAAUCAAUAUGACGUGGCUUUAUCAAUUGGUGAUGGACUGAGGCCUGGCUCAAUUUAUGAUGCCAAUGACACUGCUCAAUUUGCUGAGCUUUUGACACAAGGAGAGCUAACACGUCGAGCGUGGGAGAAGGACGUACAGGUGAUGAACGAAGGACCUGGGCAUAUUCCACUACACAAAAUCCCUGAAAACAUGGAAAAACAGCUCGAAUGGUGCAAUGAAGCACCAUUUUAUACACUUGGUCCAUUGACGACUGAUAUUGCACCUGGGUAUGAUCACAUUACCUCUGCCAUUGGAGCUGCUAAUAUAGGAGCUCUUGGAACUGCCCUUCUUUGUUAUGUGACACCAAAGGAGCACCUUGGGCUACCAAAUAGGGAUGAUGUGAAGGCUGGAGUUAUUGCAUACAAGAUAGCUGCUCAUGCAGCCGAUUUAGCUAAAGGUCAUCCAGGUGCUCAAGCCUGGGAUGAUGCAUUGAGCAAGGCAAGAUUCGAGUUUCGGUGGAUGGACCAGUUCGCGUUGUCGUUGGAUCCCAUGACUGCCAUGUCCUUCCAUGACGAGACCCUACCAGCUGAUGGGGCUAAAGUUGCACAUUUCUGCUCUAUGUGUGGGCCAAAGUUCUGUUCUAUGAAGAUAACAGAGGAUGUCAGGAAGUACGCUGAGAAGCAUGGCUACGGGGAUGAAGAAGCUGUAAAGCGUGGAAUGGAUGCUAUGAGUGCAGAGUUUUUGGCUGCUAAGAAAACUGUGAGUGGAGAGCAACACGGUGAAGUUGGGGGUGAAAUCUACUUGCCUGCAAAUUAUGUGUCUGAAGCUCAACCUCUUUGAGAAUAUGAGAGACAAAAGGAGUAAGUAUAGUCUCGUUUAGCAAACUGGGUCGAGGCCUCUAGGUGCCUUAGCAAAUGAUCCUACUUGUUCAGCGGUUGUGACUUGUGGUUGUCAUUUCAGGAUGUAGGGGUGCCUGCACCUGGUCCGGUACUGGUCAUGUUUUGCGGCUUUUGCCAAGACUGUAACCAGGUGUUGGCUGAGAAAGUCCCUUUGAACCUGAACAGGAUAAUGCCUGCGUAGGGAGUGUGCGUUUGUUUUUUUCUUUUGUGCUUGAACAGGGCAUCCUUACCUCUGGCCAUCUCUGAUCCAUGUGGAUAUCAAAGUCUGGCCAUCUUCAUUCGUACACAUGGGAGGUUGGCAGGUUGCUGAAUCUGCUCCAUGUUUCUGCUGCUCCAAGUGUAGUCUAGCACAGUAGCCUUGAGAGCCUGGUACUGCAUACACGUGCAAUGCUAACUAUCUAAUUCUUUUACUAUUUUGCAAAUGAUAUCAUUGUGAAAGUUGUUUCAGACGUGAAAACGACUAAAGCGAACUUGAAGGUUCAUACAAAAAUCAGAGAACAAUCCUCUUGUCCUCAUGAACUUUCGAGCUCAUUUUAGUCAUUUUGUCAUCUGAUUAGCUGAAGUUUAAAAUUAGAAAAAAAAAGAAAAAAAAGAGGGAUCUUCUUUAGUUUCCAAAAUCGUAUCAUUUACAUAUUUUGGUUUAGUAUUCAAGAAGGUAUGAUUUUUUGAAUAGACUAUCUCAUAUCCGAAGAAAAUGGACCGAAAGUUUGUUGAGUAGCAUGAACUACAUGAAAAA
Molecule: RNA transcript, 2902 nt
Organism: Papaver somniferum (opium poppy)
Lineage: Eukaryota; Viridiplantae; Streptophyta; Magnoliopsida; Ranunculales; Papaveraceae
Gene name: phosphomethylpyrimidine synthase, chloroplastic-like
Exons: 7
Source: RefSeq, a predicted model, not a curated record